UAUUAGGUUGGUGCAAAAGUAAUUGUGCUUUUUGCCAUUUAAAGUAAUGGCAAAACCACAAUUACUUUUGCACCAACCUAAUA
MicroRNA precursor from Gorilla gorilla gorilla (western lowland gorilla), 83 nucleotides. It matches the Rfam family "mir-548 microRNA precursor family". The record is from Rfam. NCBI's taxonomy places the organism in Eukaryota, Metazoa, Chordata, Mammalia, Primates, Hominidae.